UACGUAGGGUGCGAGCGUUGUCCGGAUUUAUUGGGCGUAAAGAGCUCGUAGGCGGUUUGUCGCGUCGACUGUGAAAACCCACAGCUCAACUGUGGGCUUGCAGUCGAUACGGGCAGGCUAGAGUUCGGUUGGGGAGACUGGAAUUCCUGGUGUAGCGGUGAAAUGCGUAGAUAUCUGGAGGAAUACCGGUGGCGAAGGCGGCAUCCUGGACCGACAUUGACGCUGAACGGCGAAAGCUAGGGGAGCAAACGGG
Molecule: ribosomal RNA, 253 nt
Filed under: uncultured bacterium
Lineage: Bacteria
Description: partial 16S ribosomal RNA
Rfam family: Bacterial small subunit ribosomal RNA
Source: RNAcentral